GCACGUAACCACUCCACUAUCUAAGCAUGCA
Molecule: non-coding RNA, 31 nt
Filed under: Rattus norvegicus (Norway rat)
Lineage: Eukaryota; Metazoa; Chordata; Mammalia; Rodentia; Muridae
Source: RNAcentral